AUUGAACGCUGGCGGCGUGCCUAACACAUGCAAGUCGAACGAUGAUGGAGGAGCUUGCUCUUCCUGAUUAGUGGCGCACGGGUGAGUAACGCAUAGAUAAUGUGCCCCUUAGUUCGGGAUAGCCACUGGAAACGGUGAUUAAUACCGGAUACUCCUUCUUAUCAUAAGAUAAGUCGGGAAAGUUUUUCGCUAAGGGAUCAGUCUAUGUUCCAUCAGUUAGUUGGUGAGGUAACGGCUCACCAAGACAAUGACGGAUAUCUGGUUUGAGAGGAUGAUCAGACACACUGGAACUGAGACACGGUCCAGACUCCUACGGGAGGCAGCAGUGAGGAAUAUUGCACAAUGGAGGAAACUCUGAUGCAGCAACGCCGCGUGGAGGAUGACGCAUUUCGGUGUGUAAACUCCUUUUAUUAGGGAAGAUUAUGACGGUACCUAAUGAAUAAGCACCGGCUAACUCCGUGCCAGCCGCCGCAGUAA
This 477-nucleotide ribosomal RNA is filed under the name uncultured bacterium. RNAcentral describes it as "partial 16S ribosomal RNA". It matches the Rfam family "Bacterial small subunit ribosomal RNA", at positions 30 to 523 of the family's 1533-position model. The record is from RNAcentral.